This 1456-nucleotide ribosomal RNA is filed under the name metagenome. RNAcentral's name for it is "bacterial SSU rRNA". It matches the Rfam family "Bacterial small subunit ribosomal RNA". The record is from RNAcentral.
AGAGUUUGAUCCUGGCUCAGAUUGAACGCUGGCGGCAUGCCUAAUACAUGCAAGUUGAAUGUGAAAGUCACUUUGGUGGCGAGUAGAGUGGUGGACGGGUGAGUAACGCAUGGGAAACUACCUUACAGUGGGGGAUAACCCGAGGAAACUCGGGCUAAUACCGCAUACGACCUACGGGUGAAAGGGGGCUUCGGCUCUCGCUGUUGGAUGAGCCCAUGUCCGAUUAGUUGGUUGGUGAGGUAAAGGCUCACCAAGGCGAUGAUCGGUAGCUGGUCUAAGUGGAUGAUUAGCCACACUGGGAUUGAGAUAUGGCCCAGAUUUUUAUGGGAGGUAGUAGUGGGGAAUAUUGGAUAAUGGGGGAAAUCCUGAUCCAGUAAUGCCGCGUGUGUGAAGAAGGCCUGUGGGUUGUAAAGCACUUUCAGUGGGGAAGAAAAGCCGAGGGUUAAUAUCCCUUGGUCUUGACGUUACCCACAGAAGAAGCACCGGCUAACUCCGUGCUAGUAGUUGUGGUAAUACGGAGGGUGCGAGCGUUAAUCGGAAUCACUGGGCGUAAAGCGCACGUAGGUGGUUGGGUAAGUCAGAUGUGAAAUUCCUGGGUUUAACCUGGGAACUGCAUUUGAAACUGCUUGGCUAGAGUCCAAUAGAGGGGGGUGGAAUUUUAGGUGUAGUGGUGAAAUGUGUAGAUAUUUGGAGGAAUAUUAGUGGUGAAGGUGGCCCCCUGGAUCGAGACUGACGCUGAGGUGCGAAAGCGUGGGUAGUAAACAGGAUUAGAUAUCCUGGUAGUCCACGCUGUAAACGAUGUCAACUAGCCGUUGGGUUUAUUUAAGGGUUUAGUGGUGUAGCUAACGUGAUAAGUUGACCGCCUGGGGAGUACGGCCGCAAGGUUAAAACUCAAAGGAAUUGACGGGGGCCCGCACAGGCGGUGGAGCAUGUGGUUUAAUUUGAUGCAAUGUGAAGAAUCUUAUCAGCCCUUGACAUCCUCGGAAUCCCAUAGAGAUGUGGGAGUGCCUUCGGGAGCCGAGUGACAGGUGCUGCAUGGCUGUCGUCAGCUCGUGUCGUGAGAUGUUGGGUUAAGUCCCGUAACGAGCGCAACCCUUGUCCUUAGUUGCCAGCGAGUGAAGUUGGGAACUUUAAGGAGACUGCCGGUGAUAAACCGGAGGAAGGUGGGGAUGACGUCAAGUCAUCAUGGCCCUUAUGGGCUGGGUUACACACGUGCUACAAUGGCCGGUACAGAGAGUUGCGAAGUGGUGAUGUGGAGCCAAUUUCGCAAAACCGGUCGUAGUCCGGAUCGCAGUCUGCAACUCGACUGCGUGAAGUCGGAAUCGCUAGUAAUCGCGAAUUAGAAUGUCGCGGUGAAUAUGUUCCCGGGCCUUGUAUACACCGCCCGUCACACCAUGGGAGUUGGUUGCACCAGAAGUAGGUAGCUUAACCUUUGGGAGGGCGCUUACUACGGUGU